This 660-nucleotide ribosomal RNA is filed under the name uncultured Halogranum sp. RNAcentral's name for it is "bacterial SSU rRNA". It matches the Rfam family "Archaeal small subunit ribosomal RNA", at positions 146 to 805 of the family's 1478-position model. Lineage: Archaea; Methanobacteriati; Methanobacteriota; Halobacteria; Halobacteriales; Haloferacaceae. The record is from RNAcentral.
CUAAUACCUGAUACGGUUCUCAUGCUGGAGUGCAGAGAACCUCAAACGCUGCGGCGCUACAGGAUGUGGCUGCGGCCGAUUAGGUAGACGGUGGGGUAACGGCCCACCGUGCCGAUAAUCGGUACGGGUUGUGAGAGCAAGAGCCCGGAGACGGAAUCUGAGACAAGAUUCCGGGCCCUACGGGGCGCAGCAGGCGCGAAACCUUUACACUGCACGCCAGUGCGAUAAGGGGACCCCAAGUGUGAGGGCAUAUAGCCCUCACUUUUGUGUACCGUAGGGAGGUACACGAAUAAGAGCUGGGCAAGACCGGUGCCAGCCGCCGCGGUAAUACCGGCAGCUCGAGUGAUGACCGAUUUUAUUGGGCCUAAAGCGUCCGUAGCUGGCCGCGUAGGUUCGUCGGGAAAUCCACCUGCUCAACAGGUGGGCGUCCGGCGAAAACCACGUGGCUUGGGACCGGAAGGCUCGAGGGGUACGUCCGGGGUAGGAGUGAAAUCCCGUAAUCCUGGACGGACCGCCGAUGGCGAAAGCACCUCGAGAAGACGGAUCCGACAGUGAGGGACGAAAGCUGGGGUCUCGAACCGGAUUAGAUACCCGGGUAGUCCCAGCCGUAAACAAUGCCUGUUAGGUGUGGCACCGACUACGAGUCGGUGCUGUGCCGUA